UACGGAGGGAGCUAGCGUUGUUCGGAAUUACUGGGCGUAAAGCGCGCGUAGGCGGUGACUCAAGUCAGAGGUGAAAGCCCGGGGCUCAACCCCGGAACUGCCUUUGAAACUAGGUCGCUAGAAUCUUGGAGAGGUCAGUGGAAUUCCGAGUGUAGAGGUGAAAUUCGUAGAUAUUCGGAAGAACACCAGUGGCGAAGGCGACUGACUGGACAAGUAUUGACGCUGAGGUGCGAAAGUGUGGGGAGCAAAACAGG
Molecule: ribosomal RNA, 254 nt
Filed under: uncultured bacterium
Lineage: Bacteria
Description: partial 16S ribosomal RNA
Rfam family: Bacterial small subunit ribosomal RNA
Source: RNAcentral